Molecule: ribosomal RNA, 254 nt
Filed under: uncultured prokaryote
Description: partial 16S ribosomal RNA
Rfam family: Bacterial small subunit ribosomal RNA
Source: RNAcentral
ACGUAGGACCCAAGCGUUAUCCGGAAUUACUGGGCGUAAAGAGUUGCGUAGGUGGCAGAGUAAGUAGGUAGUGAAAGCGUGUGGCUCAACCAUACAUCCAUUACCUAAACUGCUCAGCUUGAGCAUGAGAGAGGUAGCUGGAAUUCCUAGUGUAGGAGUGAAAUCCGUAGAUAUUAGGAGGAACACCGAUGGCGUAGGCAGGCUACUGGCUCAUUGCUGGCACUCAGGCACGAAAGCGUGGGGAGCGAACGGGU